This 490-nucleotide ribosomal RNA is filed under the name uncultured bacterium. RNAcentral's name for it is "bacterial SSU rRNA". It matches the Rfam family "Bacterial small subunit ribosomal RNA", at positions 28 to 513 of the family's 1533-position model. The record is from RNAcentral.
GAUGAACGCUAGCGGCAGGCUUAAUACAUGCAAGUCGAACGGGAUUCGGUGUAGCAAUACAUUGAUGAGAGUGGCGCACGGGUGCGUAACGCGUAUGCAACCUACCUUUAACAGGGGAAUAGCCCCGAGAAAUCGGGAUUAAUACUCCGUAACAUUGCGAUGUGGCAUCACAUUGCAAUUAAAGAUUCAUCGGUUAAAGAUGGGCAUGCGUGACAUUAGCUUGUUGGUGAGGUAACGGCUCACCAAGGCAACGAUGUCUAGGGGUCCUGAGAGGGUUAUCCCCCACACUGGUACUGAGACACGGACCAGACUCCUACGGGAGGCAGCAGUAAGGAAUAUUGGUCAAUGGGCGCAAGCCUGAACCAGCCAUGCCGCGUGCAGGAAGACGGCCCUAUGGGUUGUAAACUGCUUUUGUCAGGGAAUAAACCUGUUUACGUGUAAACAGCUGAAGGUACCUGAAGAAUAAGCAUCGGCUAACUCCGUGCCAGCA